Molecule: ribosomal RNA, 615 nt
Filed under: Ramaria fennica var. violaceibrunnea
Lineage: Eukaryota; Fungi; Basidiomycota; Agaricomycetes; Gomphales; Gomphaceae
Description: eukaryotic LSU rRNA
Rfam family: Eukaryotic large subunit ribosomal RNA
Source: RNAcentral
CUAACAAGGAUUCCCCUAGUAACGGCGAGUGAAGCGGGAUGAGCUCAAAUUUGUAAUCUGGCGGCCUUUGGUCGUCCGAGUUGUAGUCUGGAGAAGCGUUUUCCGCGUCGGACCGUGUACAAGUCCCUUGGAACAGGGCGUCGUAGAGGGUGAGAAUCCCGUCUUUGACACGGACUGCCGAUGCUUUGUGAUGCGCUCUCGAAGAGUCGAGUUGUUUGGGAAUGCAGCUCAAAUCGGGUGGUAAAUUCCAUCUAAGGCUAAAUAUUGGCAAAAGACCGAUAGCGAACAAGUACCGUGAGGGAAAGAUGAAAAGCACUUUGGAAAGAGAGUUAAACAGUACGUGAAAUUGUUGAAAGGGAAACGCUUGAAGUCAGUCGCGUCUCGUGGGACUCAGCCUUGCUUUUUCUGCUCGGUGUACUUCCUGCGGCGACGGGCCAGCGUCGAUUUCGAUYGUCGGAGAAAGGCCUCGGGAAUGUGGCACCUUCGGGUGUGUUAUAGCCCUUGGUCGUAUGCGGCGGUGGGGAUCGAGGACCGCAGCACGCCUUGAAUGGCCGGGGUUCGCCCACGUAACGUGCUUAGGAUGCUGGCGUAAUGGCUUUAAGCGACCCGUCUUGA